Molecule: small nuclear RNA, 101 nt
Organism: Capra hircus (goat)
Lineage: Eukaryota; Metazoa; Chordata; Mammalia; Artiodactyla; Bovidae
Source: Ensembl
GUGUUCGCUUCAGCAACACAUACACUAAAAUUGGAACGAUACAGAGAAGAUUAGUAGAUUAUUAGCAGAUGACGCAAAUUUGUGAAGUGUUCCAUGUUUGG